This 432-nucleotide unclassified non-coding RNA is filed under the name soil metagenome. Its description in RNAcentral is "partial contains 5.8S ribosomal RNA, internal transcribed spacer 2, and large subunit ribosomal RNA". The stretch from base 1 to 120 matches the Rfam family "5.8S ribosomal RNA", at positions 35 to 154 of the family's 154-position model. The record is from RNAcentral.
GAUGAAGAACGUAGCGAAAUGCGAUACGUAAUGUGAAUUGCAGAAUUCAGUGAAUCAUCGAAUCUUUGAACGCAUAUUGCGCUCUCUGGUAUUCCGGAGAGCUUGCUUGUUUGAGUAUCAGUAAACACCUCAACUUCCAUAUCUUUUUUGAAAUGGGAGUUGGACUUGAGUGAUCCCAACGCUUUUCCUCACCGAAAAGUGGCGGGUUACUUGAAAUGCAGGUGCAGCUGGACUUUUCUCUGAGCUAUAAGCAUAUCUAUUUAGUCUGCCUAAAAAACAGAUUAUUACCUUUGCUGCAGCUAACAUAAAGGAGAUUAGUUCUUGUGCUGACUGAUGCAGGAUUCACAAAGACGGCUUCGGCCGACUUUGUAAACUCGAUCUCAAAUCAAGUAAGACUACCCGCUGAACUUAAGCAUAUCAAUAAGCGGAGGA